UUCUAAUGAGCUGUGGAUGCCUUUCAAUUACAACUUCCAUCAUGUUACACUGGAAACCACACUGACUUCCUACAGUUGUCAAACAGAAAGCUACAGGGCAGAGAGAGGCAGACAAAGCACAGGUCCUUGAGAAGACUACUGCAGGAGAAGUAGGAGAGAGAAGCCAGUUGUUUGCAGCAGGAGUAGCAGACUCAUACGUUGGUUAGCUGGGAGGAGGCAGAAGAAGGAGGUGGAAGAGUGAGUAACCUUGGAUAUUCUGGAUAUACAAACUACUAAAGGACCGUGCAGGUUGUUGAUUCUUGUUCCAAACAUGUUCUAGUAAUUCAUCACGCAAAGGGAAUAGCACAGCAUGAAGGAGAGGUGUUCAGGGUAAAGAUCAUCUCAGUGCUAUUCAUCAGUCUUUUAUUUAUGAGCCAGUGGGAUCAGAAUCAUCACUACACCACUCCAGUACAACUUAGUGUACCAGCAUCCUUGAACAUGUCACUUCAAUCCGGAUAGGAAACUGGAAAACAACAGGAAAGGCUCUGCCCCAUCAGCAGAGGCUGCUUCUCACUCAGCCCUCCCACGCCAGGGCUCACAGCAGCCACUAUAGGCAUGGGUUGCCUCCAGCACCGAGGUUCUGCAAGGAAAGGGCCAGGAGAAGUCCCGGAGCUCACUCUGGAGACCUGAAGAAUAAAAUGACUUCCUCAGGUCAUCCAGACUGAGGGAAGUUUCUGAGCACAGCCAUGCCCAGCAUUAUCUUCCUUCCAAUAAACACUAAUAUAGGAUUUAAACAAAAUCACCUGCUGUUGGAGUGGCACCCUACAAGUGCCUCAUGCUUUCCCACUAUUAAGGCUUCUUUAUACCCUUGCUCUAUAUUUUCCAGUCCUUGUAAUGCAUUCAACUCCUCUUGGUAGCACAAUAUCUAUCUUGUACUUCAUUAAUAUUCCAGAUAAUAUUACCAUAUUGACCUGGAGCACAAGCUAGGACGUGCAAGACACAUGCUACAUUUCUUGAUCUGCUCCAGGCUUUGUGUGUGACUUUGAGCAAGUUAUUUCAGCUCAAUACCUCAAGUGCCCCCACAUAAAAUGAGAUCAGAGCACUGACUCCCUUGUCUGAAAUGUCCAGAGAGGCUGGGUGAGUACUGACAGCACUUGGGGAUGAGAAGGCUGCCGGUCACUGCUUGCUGGUGGCUUCCCUGCCAAAUUCAGGAGCCGAGGGGCAGCUCUUCCAUACGCCUUGUGUGUAAUGGAGAGUAACGACAGCUUUUAACAGCCAGCUUGUUCAAAAUCGCGCUGAGAGCAGAAGCAAAUCAGCUGGUUUGUGACUAAUAUUUGCUGGUUGGCAAAGAGGAGAGCUAGGGCUUCCUCUCCUCCUCCAUAGAGCAAUGGCUAAGCACCAAACUGAUGAGAAAUGUCCAUGGAGGCUGGAAGUACUGAGCUGCAUCAGCAGGGUGCAAUGGGCAUUGGGAGGGACAGGGGAUGAGAAACCUUUGCAAGGUGAGCAGAUGAUCAGUGGUGGUUUGCAAACAGAUGCUGCUGAGUUCCUCACAAAAUGCCUAAGGUGCUUGAGAGGUUAAUCAGAGAUUUAUGAAGUCGAGAGGGAAAGGUGAAGGGAUGCACGGCAGCUGGCCAAUGCUUUAUGAAUGACAGCAGCUUCCUUAAAAUAAAUGAGGCUGUUAACAAAUCGUUGGGUUCUUGGCAUAUAGCUAUCAACAUGCAUAGGCAAAUGAACAAAUGAAUCAUUUCAUUAGCUUAUUCACAGCAUUUCACGCCCAAUGAAUACUAAUGUAAGCAGUGUCAGGAAAAUGGUGGGGUUAUUUCUGGCAUAUCUAAUUAUAACGAGUGUUUUUUUUUUCCUUCUCGCUAUUAUUUUGAGAUGCUUAGUUAAAAUCUGCAGUGAAUUAAAUGCCUGGGAAAACCGCCAGUCUCUGUCGAGCCUUUGCAGGAGGUCAGUGGAGAUUCAGCAGAGAAGCUUCACAGAUGCCAAGGGAUGUGUACCUGAGGCUGAGAGCAUUUUAUCACCCAUUGCCUGCAUUGCACAGGGAGGGAGAUGAUACAGCCACAGGGCACAAAGGUGAAUUGGCAUCUCUGAGGGAUGACGUCUCCUCCCAUGUUGGCAUCAGGGAUUUUGUCCUAAUGCAGCUGUGUGCAUGCCACAAAGCUCCCGCAGCUGUGACUCUAAUUUUUCUUGCCUCCCGUGAUGGGAGGAGCCCACUGAUGAAUUUUGGCAGGCUGAC
Molecule: long non-coding RNA, 2218 nt
Organism: Cygnus olor (mute swan)
Lineage: Eukaryota; Metazoa; Chordata; Aves; Anseriformes; Anatidae
Exons: 3
Source: RefSeq, a predicted model, not a curated record